UACGUAGGGGGCGAGCGUUGUCCGGAUUUAUUGGGCGUAAAAGGCUUGUAGGUGGCCACGUCAAGUCGGAUGUGAAAUCUCCCGGCUCAACUGGGAGGGGUCAUUCGAUACUGGCGGGCUCGAGGCCGGUAGGGGGAAGCGGAAUUCCCGGUGUAGUGGUGGAAUGCGUAGAUAUCGGGAGGAACACCAGUGGCGAAGGCGGCUUCCUGGACCAGUACCGACGUUCAGGCACGAAAGCGUGGGGAGCAAACAGG
RNAcentral lists this ribosomal RNA (254 nucleotides) under uncultured bacterium. Its description in RNAcentral is "partial 16S ribosomal RNA". It matches the Rfam family "Bacterial small subunit ribosomal RNA", at positions 524 to 776 of the family's 1533-position model. The record is from RNAcentral.